This 331-nucleotide RNase P RNA is filed under the name Lentisphaeria bacterium. RNAcentral's name for it is "RNase P RNA component class A". It matches the Rfam family "Bacterial RNase P class A". From Rfam's summary of the family: Ribonuclease P (RNase P) is a ubiquitous endoribonuclease, found in archaea, bacteria and eukarya as well as chloroplasts and mitochondria. Its best characterised activity is the generation of mature 5'-ends of tRNAs by cleaving the 5'-leader elements of precursor-tRNAs. The record is from RNAcentral. Lineage: Bacteria; Pseudomonadati; Lentisphaerota; Lentisphaeria.
GGAUCCGUGACGGCGGUCGCGCCGGAAACGGUGAGGAAAGUCCGGACUCCACAGAGCAGGAAGUCCUCCUCACGGAGGAUACCGCAGAGAAAGUCUGCGGGAAGGAAAGCGCAACAGAAAGCAUACCGCCGGGAGCGAUCCCGGUAAGGGUGAAACGGCGGUGUAAGAGACCACCGGGCAUUGGAGUGAUCCGUGCCGCACGGCAAGCCCCUUCCGGAGCAAGACCAAAUAGGGAAUGAUGUUGCUGCUCGUAACGUUUGAAUUCCGGGUACUGGUCGCGUAGAAAGAUGAUCGCCUGAUACAGAAUCCGGCUUAUGUCACGGAUCCCCGC